This 258-nucleotide unclassified non-coding RNA is filed under the name plant metagenome. Its description in RNAcentral is "partial contains small subunit ribosomal RNA and internal transcribed spacer 1". The stretch from base 1 to 54 matches the Rfam family "Eukaryotic small subunit ribosomal RNA", at positions 1778 to 1831 of the family's 1831-position model. The record is from RNAcentral.
GGAAGUAAAAGUCGUAACAGGGUCUCCGUAGGUGAACCUGCGGAAGGAUCAUUACCGAGUGAGGGCCCUUUGGGUCCAACCUCCCACCCGUGUUUAUUUACCUUGUUGCUUCGGCGGGCCCGCCUUAACUGGCCGCCGGGGGGCUUACGCCCCCGGGCCCGCGCCCGCCGAAGACACCCUCGAACUCUGUCUGAAGAUUGUAGUUUGAGUAAAAAUAUAAAUUAUUUAAAACUUUCAACAACGGAUCUCUUGGUCCCG